RNAcentral lists this ribosomal RNA (354 nucleotides) under Alphaproteobacteria bacterium. RNAcentral describes it as "bacterial LSU rRNA". It matches the Rfam family "Bacterial large subunit ribosomal RNA", at positions 2567 to 2925 of the family's 2925-position model. The record is from RNAcentral. Lineage: Bacteria; Pseudomonadati; Pseudomonadota; Alphaproteobacteria.
AAGGGUUUGGCUGUUCGCCAAUUAAAGCGGUACGUGAGCUGGGUUUAGAACGUCGUGAGACAGUUCGGUCCCUAUCUGCCGUGGGUGUUGGAGAAUUGAGAGGAGCUGUCCCUAGUACGAGAGGACCGGGAUGGACACACCUCUGGUGGACCUGUUGUCGCGCCAGCGGCACAGCAGGGUAGCUAUGUGUGGAAGGGAUAACCGCUGAAAGCAUCUAAGCGGGAAGCCCCCCUCAAAACCAGUUCUCCCUUGAGAGCCGUGGAAGACCACCACGUUGAUAGGCUGGGUGUGGAAGCACAGCAAUGUGUGAAGCUAACCAGUACUAAUCGCUCGAUCGGCUUGAUUGCUCUCAUU